RNAcentral lists this transfer RNA (72 nucleotides) under Camelus bactrianus (Bactrian camel). It matches the Rfam family "tRNA". From Rfam's summary of the family: Transfer RNA (tRNA) molecules are approximately 80 nucleotides in length. Their secondary structure includes four short double-helical elements and three loops (D, anti-codon, and T loops). The record is from Rfam by way of RNAcentral. Lineage: Eukaryota; Metazoa; Chordata; Mammalia; Artiodactyla; Camelidae. RNAcentral also lists the same sequence under 2 other names.
GAGGGUAUCGCUCAGUGGUUGAGCCCAUGCCUAGCAUGCACGAGGUCCUGGGUUCCAUCCCCAGUACCUCUG